AGUGAACGCUGGCGGUAGGCCUAACACAUGCAAGUCGAACGGCAGCACAGUAAGAGCUUGCUCUUACGGGUGGCGAGUGGCGGACGGGUGAGGAAUACAUCGGAAUCUACUUUUUCGUGGGGGAUAACGUAGGGAAACUUACGCUAAUACCGCAUACGACCUACGGGUGAAAGCAGGGGAUCUUCGGACCUUGCGCGAUUGAAUGAGCCGAUGUCGGAUUAGCUAGUUGGCGGGGUAAAGGCCCACCAAGGCGACGAUCCGUAGCUGGUCUGAGAGGAUGAUCAGCCACACUGGAACGUAGACACGGUCCAGACUCCUACGGGAGGCAGCAGUGGGGAAGAUUGGACAAUGGGCGCAAGCCUGAUCCAGCCAUAACGCGUGGGUGAAGAAGGACUUCGGGUUGUAAAGCCCUUUUGUUGGGAAAGAAAAGCAGCAGGUUAAUACCCCGCUGUUCUGACGGUACCCAAAGAAUAAGCACCGGCUAACUUCGUG
Molecule: ribosomal RNA, 492 nt
Filed under: uncultured bacterium
Lineage: Bacteria
Description: partial 16S ribosomal RNA
Rfam family: Bacterial small subunit ribosomal RNA
Source: RNAcentral